AAAUUUUUUAUUUGGGUGAAAACAUACAGAACUUAUCUGAACUAUAGAUCAUUUUAAAAGGUGUCAGACGUUGGUGGAUGAUGUUGGAUUUUAUUCAAUAAUAAAUUUUGACGAUAGCAAACAACUUUUGAAUUUAAUUUAUUACUUAGCAAUUUCAGGCUGUAGUUGAAUUUAAAGUGGCUCAAGUCGAACCGGAUUUGAUCAAAGGUAAUCAUUCAAUCAAAUUAUUCAAAUUCAUCCGGACAAGAUCAAAUUAUACCAAAUUGGAUGCAAGUGCCACAACAAUAAUUUGGAGGACUUCUUUACAAUUUAUCGAAUUUGAGCCGAUCAUCCUAGUCAAGUUAACCAACUCACCUUUUGGGUUUGAUUUGAGCUUAACGUCAAAUUAGCUAUUAUUUUAAUAUGAUAUGAAAGAGAUUUGAUAUAUGGUAUAAAUUUAAAAAUAAUUUUAUUAUAGCAUGAAUUUAAAAAAUAUGAAAUAUAAUAUAAAUAAGUUUUAUAUGUAUGGUAUUAUUUCGAAAGCUUUUACGAAUGUGAAAUGAAUUCAAAAGUUUUACAUUUUAGUAUUAAUUUAAAAGGAUUUUACGAAUUUGGUAUAAUUUUAAAUGAGUUUUUCAAUAUAGUAAUAUUUCAAAUAUGCUUUGUAAAUGUGAUAUGAAUUUAAAUUUAUUUUGGAAUUAAUUCAAAUGCAUUUGCAAAUAUGGUUAAAAUUUAAAUUAAAAUCAAUUAUCAUUUAAUUAUACUUUUGUUUCAUUUUUGAAAUGAUGGCUAAUGUAUUUAAGAGGGGGCUUGGAUAUUGUUUGGGAUAUAAUUUCAGAAAAAUUGUCUAUGUCCUAAUUGUUUAUUGAUCUGUAAUUGUGAGCUUCUUGCGAGAUUGUAAAAGAAGUUUUGUGUGAUUGUAAGCGGCUUUGAUCUUAUCUUGUUCAAAAGGUCAAGUGAGAGUGACAUCAGUAUCUCGAGAAGAAGAAGGAUCGGACUGGAAUAGCCAGAAAGACCGAACCAGAAUACAUCAUCUGUGUUAUCUGAGUUUGAUUUUUUUUAUUUGAUUGUGUAAUUUUUAUCUGAAUUUAAUUUUACUUAAGUUGAAAGUUGUCGACUAAUUCACCCCCGCUCUUAGGUGUCAUUUGAUCUUUCAAAUGAGAU
RNAcentral lists this long non-coding RNA (1143 nucleotides) under Ananas comosus (pineapple). RNAcentral describes it as "long non-coding RNA (ACOM_LNC020769)". Lineage: Eukaryota; Viridiplantae; Streptophyta; Magnoliopsida; Poales; Bromeliaceae. The record is from RNAcentral.